GAUUUUGUAAUUUGUUGGAAUUGGAAUCAAAUAAUCAGCUCAUAACUCAAUAAAGAAGGGAUUAAGAGCUGCAGUCUGCAGAUCGUUUUUGGGGAUUGCAAUACUAAGAAAGAGGUUGGAUUUAUAUUCAUGAUUUUUUUUUGGAAUUUUCUGUUUGUAGAUUUUGUUUUUAGGGUUAGAUGCAAAUUGGAAUUUUCUUUUUAGAAUUUCAAGAGGAAAAAUAUAUUUAUUUUAUUCUUUUUAAUUUCUUUUUUGGUGGUAGGUUAUAUUCAUACUCAAAUAUGUAGCUCUUUUUAAAUGUUUCGUGGCCCCUCUUUCUCUUUUUCUGAAUUAUUGGCAUUUGUUUGUUUUUCUUAUAUGUUUAAUCUUCAUUCUUCACUUCCAUUUCGAAUAUUCUUUGUUUAUGUAUAUCUGCGGUGGGAAAAGGUAUUUUUCGUGAUGAAGAAUUCAUUCUUUUUUUAUUUAUCUGCUAAAACAGAGUAUUCGCAUGAUUGUGGUGCAUAAAUUGUGAAAGUGAUUUGUGUUAUUAUUUGCUCUAUAAAAGCAUUAAUUAAUAUUGUUGCUUAGUAGCUAAGGAUGCUGAGUUGGUGAAAUAUUUGUCACAUAAAUCAAAGAGUGGAUUUUUAAAAUGGCCACUUUCAUAUUGUAAAGAUAAAAAAUGUCCACUAAAAUAAAAAACUUAAAAAAUGUCCACUGUUACCAAAAUACCCUUCACAUUAAAAAUUAAAAAAAUGUCCACUUUACAUCACCCCUUUAAAAAAUCCCGCAAUUCACAACCAGUGUGAAUUCACAACCAAAAUUUUUUGGUUGUGAAUUCACACUGGUUGUGAAUUGAGAAUUCACAACCAGUCGAAUUCACAACCAUAAUUUUUUGUUUGUGAAUUCACAACUAGUCGAAUUCACAGCCAAAAUUUAAUUCACAACCAGUCGAAUUCACAACCAAAAUUUAAUUCACAAUUAGAAUUUUUUGGUUGUGAAUUCACAACAAACGAAUUCACAACCAAAAUUUAAUUCACAACCAGUCGAAUUCACAACCUGAAUUUAAUUCACAACCUGAAUUUAAUUCACAACUAUAAUUUAUUUUGGUUGUGAAUUCAAAUAGUUGUGAAUUUGAGUUUUUAAAGUUUGGAUUCACAACUAAAACUAGAAUUUAGUUUGGUUGUGAAUUCAUAGAUCUCGUUGUGAAUUCAAGAAUAUUAAAUUGUGAAUUCAUCGAGUUGAUUGUGAAUUGAAGAACAUUAAGUUGUGAAUUCAUAGAUCUGAGCGUGAAUUCAAGAAUAUUAUGUUGUGAAUUCAUAAGAAAAUGAUUCACUAUACAUACAAAAAUAAAUAAAUAAAUAAAUAAGUGAAAAUAUUGUUUUCCACCCUCAACGUUACCUUACCUCAAACAGAAUAUCUGCAAAUUAAUUAUAGUUUGAGUGUGGAGAUGGUGUAAAAAUUAAUCACAGUUUGGACAAGUCUAUAGGUAAUUAGAUUGAAAUAAUUUCUUUAAAAAUGAAUUAAUAUAAACAUGAAUUAGUAUAUACAGAUGUAGGUAAUGAAUUAAAUAGAUUUGAUAUUCUAGUGUUGCACAACCAAAACAGAGACAGGCACAGUGAGAUCCGGCGCCGCCAGCAUGUCCCCGACGGGUCCGAGCUCCGGCAGGUCAUUCCACUCGCUGAGGCCCAGCAGCUGCGGUGUAUCUUCCUUAUGCCUCCUCCCCACCCUGAUGAGAUCAAAGGCCUCUUCCAUGGCGUGUAUGAGCAGCGCCGUCUCCGCCCCAUCUUUCACCCUCUCCUCCCUAUACACGAUGUUGUCCUGGUGGGCCCCCUGCAUCCUAGUGUCCUUCAAUAUCUCGGCGUCCAGCACCGCGUCCCACUGGCUGUCCCCGGCGUAUAUGUCCCACGGCCGACUCACCAGAUCUGGAGCAAGAUGUCGAAGACAACACCCCACCUACCGCCGUCCGACCCCAUCCUCUAUCGCCUGCGCCAGAUCUGCCGUUCAGUGGGCAGCUCACGGCCGCGCCAGAUCUGCCCAGCCACCAUUGUCGAGCUCCAAAAUGUCCAGAUCUGUCGAUCAUUGUCGACGAGAUCUCGUUGUUGUUGGCGAAGCUCUCCAAGUCAGAAUCGAGAGAGAGAGAUAGAAAGAGGCGCCGCGGUGGUGGUGGCUGUGCGGCGCUGCGGAGAUUGAGUGGCGGCGGAGCGGCGGGGGUGAAGCAGGAGAUGGCGGAGGCGACGAGGCGGCUGAUUUCCGACGCCGAGAGAGAGAUGGAGCAGAUCUCGACUCGCUGAGCGGAGGAGCUUCUGGUGGCGCGGAUUUCCGACGUCGAGAGAGAUGGUGGAGGCGGCGGCGGCGGCGGCGGAGGAUGCUACGAGGGAGAGGUGGUGGCGGUAGUGAGAUAGAGAGAGAGUGACGUGAAGGUGAGGAGAGAGAGAGGAGAGAGGGGUAGAAGUGAGUGGAUAUUUUUUAUUAUUUUAAAGUGAGGGUUAUUUCUGUCUUUUCAACCACAAAGUGGACAUUUUUUAUCAUUUUUAUCUUAGUGGACAUUUUUUAUCUUUACAAUAUGAAAGUGGACAGUUUUAUAUAUUUGCUCUAAAUCAAAUACCUAAUGCAUAUCUAUCUAUUAUACUAAAGGAAAGUAGUCUGUCAAAAUUUUCCCUCCUAAACGCAUUUGGGUAAAAUAGUCUUUUCAUAUUUCUCUUUAAAAUUGAUGGCCAAGUCUUUUCAUCAAUCCAAUUUUUUCAGUUUUUACGCAAGAUUGUUCCUUCUCCAUCUUCUAUGUCGGCUCCUCUCUCCUUCCAACUCAAUCUGCGGCUACUCCAUCUUCCGAUUUAACCUUCGUUGCCUCCCAUAUUUCUCUUUUUCCGAUUCAAUGUGCAUUGCCAUCAUUGCCGCAUAGGGAAAUAGCUCAACAUGUGACACAUAUUUCUUCUUCUCCGAUUAUUAAAUUGGACGUUUUCACCACCGACCUAAUGGGAUGAGAGGAGAUGACUUCUCAUUCGCCGAAAAUAAAAUCAGGAACAUCGAUUGCGAUUCAUUUGGCGCAAAAAAAAGGUUUACUUUUUCUGGGGUUGUUGAUUUUGAUAUAUUUCUAACAAGUCAUGUUUCUUGAGCUUUUUUUGCAAGAUGAUAGCAGUUGGGGCCUUUUCUCUUAGAUGAUUGUUGCUUAUACUCAGGUCGACUAGCUGGAGAUUUGGAUAUUGAAUCAGAAAUGAGGGCUUUGAACUUUCUCUUUUCUUUCCCUGCAACUCGCUUAUAUAGUUAUAUUCAAGAGACGCAUCUCUAUCUAUUUCUCAUAUCUUUCUAUAUUGUCUCUAUACCUAUUCUUACUACAAGUUUAAUCUCUUGAAUAUAAGUGAGUUGCAGGGAAAGAAAAAAGAUG
This 3361-nucleotide long non-coding RNA is filed under the name Salvia miltiorrhiza (redroot sage). Its description in RNAcentral is "long non-coding RNA (SMIL_LNC005938)". The record is from RNAcentral. Lineage: Eukaryota; Viridiplantae; Streptophyta; Magnoliopsida; Lamiales; Lamiaceae.